RNAcentral lists this ribosomal RNA (253 nucleotides) under uncultured bacterium. RNAcentral's name for it is "partial 16S ribosomal RNA". It matches the Rfam family "Bacterial small subunit ribosomal RNA", at positions 524 to 776 of the family's 1533-position model. The record is from RNAcentral.
UACGAAGGGGGCUAGCGUUGUUCGGAAUUACUGGGCAUAAAGGGUGCGUAGGUGGCUUGUUAAGUCAGGGGUGAAAGUUUUCGGCCCAACCGGAAAAUGGCCUUUGAUACUGGCGAGCUCGAGUGCGUGAGGGGUAACCGGAACGAGCAGUGUAGCGGUGAAAUGCGUAGAUAUUGCUCGGAAGGCCAACGGCGAAGGCAGGUUACUGGUACGCAACUGACACUGAGGCACGAAAGCGUGGGGAGCAAACAGG